CAAAGGACAAGCAUUACUACAAUCAAUAUGAUCGACUACCUAAUAGAUUACGCCCGCGUCGACGGAUAUGUUAUGUCAUCAUGACCAAUAAUUCCCCCCCGAGCAAAGGUUUAUGCGAUCGCCAUCUUUUACAAUUCACAAUAAUAUUAUAUUUCUGACUACGGGUUAACGGCCAAUCAGAUCACGUUUUCCCUUAUCGCCAAAAACGUCGGCCCGCGACUACGUGUGCCACGAACGUCUCCGCGCUCCGCUGCCUAGUUUUCGUUUUUUUGUUCGUUUCUUUCCUACUUCGUGUCGACCUCGUCUCAAGACUUUGUCACCAGACGGUCUUUCGAUACAGUUCUCUUAAUAAAACACUCCCGUGUAUUACACGGAUUCACAUAUUUUGCCGUCAAGAAAAGGUCGUGUACCUUGGUAUGUUUCAUGAUGGUGCCUCAAACGAACUAAUGAAGUGAGUCUCGAUCUGGUCUGCUGGGCGGAACGAAUGGUAAUAUGUAUUUGAUUUAAUAAUUAGCCGAUACCCCGUUAGUUAGUUUUUAAGAUAAUUCAGUUAAGGUUCACCCCGUUAUUAUAUUAUAUACAUAUAUCUAAAAUGUUUCUUUUUUUCUCGUAUAUUAAAUUCUUCCUAUAUACUUAUGGGAAUCAACCAACUAGAUGCGUGUAUGCGUGUAUCCGUUUCAUUAUACUAUGUGCGAUAGGCCAAACCCCCCCGCAUUUUGUUUUUUUAUUCCUUUAAGUUCUAGGUUUCGCAACCACAUGUGUGAGCAUUUAAAAAAGGAAUAUAUAUAUAUAUGUAUUGAUCGAUCUUCCCCAUUUCGCGAUCCAUAUUCGGACACGCACCUCGCAGGUUCACUCGUAAGGCCACCGAAACUACGGACCAGUCAAUAUGGAAUAAAAAGCGUUUCCGCUACCCUUCCCGAUGGUAAUUUGUGUGACCUGGCAACCGCACAUUUCUGCCGGGAUCUCCCCAAUACACAAGGUGCUCACGAAAGUUCCACGUGGGGAUCCGUCUGGCUCAAUACCCAUGUCGGUCAGCACACACACGUGAAUGUGGAUUCAUCCUUAUCAAUAAAUAUUAAUAAGUCUCGGCCUGCACGCUCCCCGUCAUGUCAAUAACUGCGUCCGGACAACACUUUUAAGACUGGUUGGCGCC
Molecule: non-coding RNA, 1153 nt
Organism: Cinara cedri
Lineage: Eukaryota; Metazoa; Arthropoda; Insecta; Hemiptera; Aphididae
Source: the annotation of a GenBank genome assembly